AUGGAGGAUACAAGGGAUGGGAUGCUCUUCCCAGACCAGAGUUUUUCCCCAAAAGCAGAAAGGAAGCCCAUGAGUCUCACAGAAUACACAGGGCUGGAAAGGGAUCCUCGGCUCUGUCCAGCCUGGACCGUGGUGCUCAGGAUGUGUCCCGAGUGGUCUCUGGAAAAUGUCUUUUGUUUUCCAGGUGGCAGAAGUGGCACAUGUAAACUUAAGUGGACGUGUUGUGGAGAGAACUGUUAUUAUUUUUCAAAAGAAUCAAAGAACUUUGAAGACAGCAAGAAAUUUUGUGAGAGAAUGGACUCCAAACUUGUUAAGAUAGAAGAUCAACCAAGAACUGAACUUCAUUCAGAGUCAAAUAUCUUAUUUUUCUUGGAUUGGGUUGUCCCGUAAAGGAACCAGCAGUCCCUGGACAUGGGAGGACAACUCAGUACCCCUUCUCAAAACUUUAAGUGAUUGGAAAGAGUCAACGAGUGGAAACUGUGGAAGUCUAACAGCAUCACAGAUGACUGCUUCUGACUGUGCCAGACUCAUGCACUCUAUCUGUGAGAAGAAAACUACAUGUCGUUCAACUUAAUGCUGGGAACACCACCAACAAAAAAUAAUAAUUUUUUCUUAGGAAUAAUUCAAACCCUUGGGAGCUCUGGAGUCUUCUCUCACUUCAGAGCAUCUGCAUUUUUAAAGAGCUCUACCUAUAUUAAAGCCCGAUUAAAAUGAGGUCCAAGUAUUGGUCUACUAAAAUGAGAUGCCAGAGACUUUGGAAUUCUACCAUUUUCAAUUCAAGACUUCCUGAUCACAGCAUCUAUGAAAACAAGAUGGACCAGAACAGUUUCAGGGCUCUGAUGAGGGUCAGGAAACCGAGCUGGGAAUACUCUUCCUGCAACUCACACACUUUCGUAGAUAAUUCCAUAAAUUUCAGGCACUAUUGUGCAAUUCGACUAGAAGUAAAUGCAGUGUAGUAAUUAAGAGCAGUAUUUUGUAUGAAGCAUGUAUGCAUUUCUGUUUGAAUCUUUACCUUUUGGGAGAAAGACACUAUGGAAUCUGGAAGGGGAAGAGAAUAGUAUCCUGAAUCCAGUCUGAGAAUAGUAUCCUGAAUCCAGUCUGAGAAUAGUAUCCUGAAUCCAGUCUGAAUUUGAGGACUGCACCAUACCUAAUAAUUGUGUGUUCACUGGCAAGUGAAAACUUUUGAAUCUGAGUUUCCUGAUCAGUAGAAAACUUCCAAAGUGUUUUCUAGAGUGCCUGUCAUUUUACAUUCCAGCAUACAUGAAAGCUCCAUUUGUUUACAUCCUUCUGAUAUGUAAUAUUGUCAGUACCUUCGGUCAUUUUAAUAAGGGUGUUGUGAAAUUUUAUUUGUGAUUUUAAUUAUAUUUCCCUAAUGAAUAAAUUAUAUUGGGAAACCUUUUGUGUGUGUUUU
This 1411-nucleotide long non-coding RNA is filed under the name Oryctolagus cuniculus (rabbit). RNAcentral describes it as "lncRNA (ENSOCUG00000032503.1)". Lineage: Eukaryota; Metazoa; Chordata; Mammalia; Lagomorpha; Leporidae. The record is from RNAcentral.